This 494-nucleotide ribosomal RNA is filed under the name uncultured bacterium. Its description in RNAcentral is "partial 16S ribosomal RNA". It matches the Rfam family "Bacterial small subunit ribosomal RNA", at positions 28 to 507 of the family's 1533-position model. The record is from RNAcentral.
GACGAACGCUGGCGGCGUGCUUAACACAUGCAAGUCGAACGGAAAGGCCUGCUUUCCCUUGUGGAUUGCGGGUACUCGAGUGGCGAACGGGUGAGUAACACGUGAGUGAUCUGCCCCCAACUUGGGUAUAAGCCUGGGAAACUGGGUCUAAUUCCCGAUAGGACUGCAGGGUGGUGCCUGUGGUGGAAAACGAUUUUCUAGUGGUUGGGGAUGAGCUCGCGGCCUAUCAGCUUGUUGGUGGGGUAAUGGCCUACCAAGGCGGCGACGGGUAGCCGGCCUGAGAGGGUGGACGGCCACAUUGGGACUGAGAUACGGCCCAGACUCCUACGGGAGGCAGCAGUGGGAAAUAUGGCACAAUGGGCGGAAGCCUGAUGCAGCGACGCCGCGUGGGGGAUGACGGCCUUCGGGUUGUAAACUCCUUUCGAGCGCGAGGAAGCCACCUGGUUGGAAGGGUGGUGACGGUAGUGGUAGAAGAAGCACCGGCUAACUACGUG